Molecule: ribosomal RNA, 607 nt
Filed under: Bacillus licheniformis
Lineage: Bacteria; Bacillati; Bacillota; Bacilli; Caryophanales; Bacillaceae
Description: bacterial SSU rRNA
Rfam family: Bacterial small subunit ribosomal RNA
Source: RNAcentral
UUUAGCUACCACUUACAGAUGGACCCGCGGCGCAUUAGCUAGUUGGUGAGGUAACGGCUCACCAAGGCGACGAUGCGUAGCCGACCUGAGAGGGUGAUCGGCCACACUGGGACUGAGACACGGCCCAGACUCCUACGGGAGGCAGCAGUAGGGAAUCUUCCGCAAUGGACGAAAGUCUGACGGAGCAACGCCGCGUGAGUGAUGAAGGUUUUCGGAUCGUAAAACUCUGUUGUUAGGGAAGAACAAGUACCGUUCGAAUAGGGCGGUACCUUGACGGUACCUAACCAGAAAGCCACGGCUAACUACGUGCCAGCAGCCGCGGUAAUACGUAGGUGGCAAGCGUUGUCCGGAAUUAUUGGGCGUAAAGCGCGCGCAGGCGGUUUCUUAAGUCUGAUGUGAAAGCCCCCGGCUCAACCGGGGAGGGUCAUUGGAAACUGGGGAACUUGAGUGCAGAAGAGGAGAGUGGAAUUCCACGUGUAGCGGUGAAAUGCGUAGAGAUGUGGAGGAACACCAGUGGCGAAGGCGACUCUCUGGUCUGUAACUGACGCUGAGGCGCGAAAGCGUGGGGAGCGAACAGGAUUAGAUACCCUGGUAGUCCACGCCGUAA